This is a long non-coding RNA of Leopardus geoffroyi (Geoffroy's cat), 436 nucleotides long. RefSeq lists it as uncharacterized. The record is from RefSeq and is a predicted model, not a curated record. The transcript is spliced from 2 exons. Lineage: Eukaryota; Metazoa; Chordata; Mammalia; Carnivora; Felidae.
CCGUGUGGACAGGAGGCUGGUCCUGCGGGGAAGGGCAGCUGACAAGGCUGGCCUGGGCUGGGCUGGUUCGGACCUGCGGACCCCAUAUCUGGGCCAGGCCAGGGCUGCUCCGAUCACCAGGGGGACGUGGUGGCGUGGGCAAGACCAGCCAACCCACGGUGCCCCCAGGCCACCCACAUCCUCUGGUUCUCCUUCUUGACUGCCCCUCCAGGGAGGCGUCCCUUCCGUCUUUCCAAAGGCUCCUCGAUCCUCAGCCUGCAAGCCUCAACUUGGACGUUGCCACCUUGGAAAAUUUCCUGUGACUCCAGGCUGUCCCCACUCUCGGCUGAUUCUCACUCAACACCUCGCUGUUUUGUUUGGUUUUGUUUUGUUUUAAUUAGCCAUGUAUAUUUUUAUACUGUGGUAGCAUACAUCUAAAAUUCACCAUUGUAACCGU